GUCCACGCCGUAAACGAUGAGUGCUAGGUGCUGCGGGUAUUGAUCCCUGCGGUGCCGUAGCUAACGCGUUAAGCACUCCGCCUGGGGAGUACGGCCGCAAGGCUAAAACUCAAAGGAAUUGACGGGGGCCCCGCACAAGCGGUGGAGCAUGUGGUUCAAUUCGACGCAACGCGCAGAACCUUACCUGGGUUAAAUCCACCAGAAGCUGCCAGAGAUGGCGGGGUGCCCUUCGGGGAACUGGUGAGAAGGUGCUGCAUGGCUGUCGU
This 266-nucleotide ribosomal RNA is filed under the name uncultured bacterium. RNAcentral's name for it is "partial 16S ribosomal RNA". It matches the Rfam family "Bacterial small subunit ribosomal RNA", at positions 793 to 1055 of the family's 1533-position model. The record is from RNAcentral.